CCUACGGGAGGCAGCAGUGGGGAAUAUUGGACAAUGGGCGAAAGCCUGAUCCAGCCAUGCCGCGUGUGUGAAGAAGGUCUUCGGAUUGUAAAGCACUUUAAGUUGGGAGGAAGGGUUGUAGAUUAAUACUCUGCAAUUUUGACGUUACCGACAGAAUAAGCACCGGCUAACUCUGUGCCAGCAGCCGCGGUAAUACAGAGGGUGCAAGCGUUAAUCGGAAUUACUGGGCGUAAAGCGCGCGUAGGUGGUUUGUUAAGUUGGAUGUGAAAUCCCCGGGCUCAACCUGGGAACUGCAUCCAAAACUGGCAAGCUAGAGUAUGGUAGAGGGUGGUGGAAUUUCCUGUGUAGCGGUGAAAUGCGUAGAUAUAGGAAGGAACACCAGUGGCGAAGGCGACUCACUGGCCCAUUACUGACGCUGAGGCUCGAAAGCGUGGGGAGCAAACAGGAUUAGAUACCCUGGUAGUCCACGACCGUAACGAUAGAGUGCUAGUUGUCGGCGAUGCAUGCAUGUCGGUGACGCGAGCGUACGACGAGUUAAGUAACGACCGUCCGUUCCGUUCGGGGUAGGGUUACGGGUUCCGGCGAAGAGUUAAAACGUUUAAAAGUUAGUUAGUUAGACGGCGUUGAGACGUUGCCGACGGACGACGACGAGGGGAGGUAGG
Molecule: ribosomal RNA, 662 nt
Filed under: uncultured bacterium
Lineage: Bacteria
Description: bacterial SSU rRNA
Rfam family: Bacterial small subunit ribosomal RNA
Source: RNAcentral